UGGGCCGGGUUGGAUUCGAACCAACGUAGCAUCAAGCAAUGGAUUUACAAUCCACCCCCUUUAACCACUCGGGCACCGACCC
Molecule: transfer RNA, 82 nt
Filed under: Climaconeis cf. scalaris
Lineage: Eukaryota; Bacillariophyta; Bacillariophyceae; Naviculales; Amphipleuraceae
Description: tRNA-Tyr
Source: RNAcentral